AUGUGGCUUUUGGUCUUCUUUGAAAGCUUUCAUAGUAGCCUAACAAUUGGUGUAUUGGGAAGGCACCCACAGAACCUCUCCUAGCACGUUGCGUGUCUGAUAACCCUGCUGGCUGCUUCCCGAAAUGCCAGUGCUCCCUGGGACCAGGUGCUGAAUACAGCUGCUGUAGAAAGGAUGGCUGCGGACCAGCUGAGCAUCUAAGUCUUCAAGACCAGUGGAGGAAAGGCAAUGGCAUUCAGCGAUUACUGGGGAAAUAGUGUUCACAUUCAGAACUGAAAAGAGCCUUACAUCAAGGAUCUGCAGACUGCAACUUGGAAAUCUCUAACAUCCCCCAGAAGUUUUGUGUUUAUCCAUGGAAGUAAUGCAGAAUUCAGUGCAGAGGUCAAAAGAAAGUGAAAGUCGGGGCUGUUUUCCAUGAGGAUCCAGUGAAAAAGAAUCUUUUACAGCUUCACAAUAUAAGUAUCAGUCCAUACCUGCUCGCUUGUUUGAUUGCUUUCAUUCCCAAAGAAAAAGGAAUGGGCUUAGGGGUGGA
This is a long non-coding RNA of Alexandromys fortis (reed vole), 532 nucleotides long. RefSeq lists it as uncharacterized. The transcript is spliced from 4 exons. Lineage: Eukaryota; Metazoa; Chordata; Mammalia; Rodentia; Cricetidae. The record is from RefSeq and is a predicted model, not a curated record.